This 488-nucleotide ribosomal RNA is filed under the name uncultured bacterium. RNAcentral describes it as "partial 16S ribosomal RNA". It matches the Rfam family "Bacterial small subunit ribosomal RNA", at positions 28 to 507 of the family's 1533-position model. The record is from RNAcentral.
GACGAACGCUGGCGGCGUGCUUAACACAUGCAAGUCGAACGGAAAGGCCCUGCUUUUGUGGGGUGCUCGAGUGGCGAACGGGUGAGUAACACGUGAGUAACCUGCCCUUGACUUUGGGAUAACUUCAGGAAACUGGGGCUAAUACCGGAUAGGAGCUACUGCUGCAUGGUGGGGGUUGGAAAGUUUCGGCGGUUGGGGCUGGACUCGCGGCUUAUUAGCUUGUUGGUGGGGUAGUGGCUUACCAAGGCUUCGAUGGGUAGCCGGCCUGAGCGGGUGACCGGCCACACGGGAACUGAGACACGGUCCAGACGCCUACGGGAGGAAGCAGUAGGGAAUCUUCCCAAAUGGGCGAAAGCCUGACGGAGCAACGCCGCGUGAGUGAUGAAGGUCUUCGGAUCGUAAAACUCUGUUAUUAGGGAAGAACAAAUGUGUAAGUAACUAUGCACGUCUUGACGGUACCUAAUCAGAAAGCCACGGCUAACUACGUG